AGUGAACGCUGGCGGUAGGCCUAACACAUGCAAGUCGAGCGGCAGCACAGUAAGAGCUUGCUCUUACGGGUGGCGAGUGGCGGACGGGUGAGGAAUAAAUCGGAAUCUACUUUUUCGUGGGGGAUAACGUAGGGAAACUUACGCUAAUACCGCAUACGACCUACGGGUGAAAGCAGGGGAUCUUCGGACCUUGCGCGAUUGAAUGAGCCGAUGUCGGAUUAGCUAGUUGGCGGGGUAAAGGCCCACCAAGGCGACGAUCCGUAGCUGGUCUGAGAGGAUGAUCAGCCACACUGGAACUGAGACACGGUCCAGACUCCUACGGGAGGCAGCAGUGGGGAAUAUUGGACAAUGGGCGCAAGCCUGAUCCAGCCAUACCGCGUGGGUGAAGAAGGCCUUCGGGUUGUAAAGCCCUUUUGUUGGGAAAGAAAAGCAGCAGGUUAAUACCCCGCUGUUCUGACGGUACCCAAAGAAUAAGCACCGGCUAACUUCGUG
This 492-nucleotide ribosomal RNA is filed under the name uncultured bacterium. Its description in RNAcentral is "partial 16S ribosomal RNA". It matches the Rfam family "Bacterial small subunit ribosomal RNA", at positions 29 to 507 of the family's 1533-position model. The record is from RNAcentral.